GAUGAAGAACGCAGCGAAAUGCGAUAAGUAAUGUGAAUUGCAGAAUUCAGUGAAUCAUCGAAUCUUUGAACGCACAUUGCGCCCUUUGGUAUUCCGAAGGGCAUGCCUGUUCGAGCGUCAUUUCACCACUCGAGCCUGGCUUGGUAUUGGGCGCCGCGGUCGAUCCGCGCGCCUCAAAGUCUCCGGCUGAGCUGUCCGUCUCUAAGCGUUGUGAUUUCAUUAAUCGCUUCGGAGUGCGGGCGGCCGCGGCCGUUAAAUCUUUCACAAGGUUGACCUCGGAUCAGGUAGGGAUACCCGCUGAACUUAAGCAUAUCAAUAAGCGGAGGA
RNAcentral lists this unclassified non-coding RNA (327 nucleotides) under soil metagenome. RNAcentral describes it as "partial contains 5.8S ribosomal RNA, internal transcribed spacer 2, and large subunit ribosomal RNA". The stretch from base 1 to 120 matches the Rfam family "5.8S ribosomal RNA", at positions 35 to 154 of the family's 154-position model. The record is from RNAcentral.